CCUACGGGUGUCAGCAGUGAGGAAUAUUGGUCAAUAGACGGAAGUCUGAACCAGCAAUGCCGCGUGCAGGACGACGGCUCUAUGAGUUGUAAACUGCUUUUGUACAAGGGUAAACCUGAAUACGUGUAUUCAGCUGAAAGUACUGUACGAAUAAGGCUCGGCUAACUCCGUGCCAGCAGCCGCGGUAAUACGGAGGAUCCAAGCGUUAUCCGGAUUUAUUGGGUUUAAAGGGUGCGUAGGCGGAUUGAUAAGUUAGAGGUGAAAUGUCCGAGCUUAACUCGGGAACUGCCUCUACUACUGUUGAUAGAGAGAGUAGAUGCGGUAGGCGGAAGGUAUGGUGUAGCGGUGAAAUGCUUAGAGAUCAGACAGAACACAGAUUGCGAAGGCAGCUUACCAAUCUAUAUCUGACGUUGAGGCACGAAAGCGUGGGGAGCAAACAGGAUUAGAUACCCGUGUAGUC
RNAcentral lists this ribosomal RNA (460 nucleotides) under uncultured bacterium. Its description in RNAcentral is "partial 16S ribosomal RNA". It matches the Rfam family "Bacterial small subunit ribosomal RNA", at positions 338 to 795 of the family's 1533-position model. The record is from RNAcentral.